UACGUAGGGGGCGAGCGUUGUCCGGAAUCAUUGGGCGUAAAGCGCGCGUAGGUGGCUUCGUAAGUCCGUUGUGAAAGUCAAAGGCUCAACCUUUGAAAGCCGAUGGAUACUGCGGAGCUAGAGUACGGAAGAGGCGAGUGGAAUUCCUGGUGUAGCGGUGGAAUGCGCAGAUAUCAGGAGGAACACCAAUAGCGAAGGCAGCUCGCUGGGACGUUACUGACACUGAGGCGCGAAAGCGUGGGGAGCAAACAGG
RNAcentral lists this ribosomal RNA (253 nucleotides) under uncultured bacterium. RNAcentral describes it as "partial 16S ribosomal RNA". It matches the Rfam family "Bacterial small subunit ribosomal RNA", at positions 524 to 776 of the family's 1533-position model. The record is from RNAcentral.